RNAcentral lists this long non-coding RNA (711 nucleotides) under Anas platyrhynchos platyrhynchos (common mallard). RNAcentral's name for it is "lncRNA (ENSAPLG00000029725.1)". The record is from RNAcentral. Lineage: Eukaryota; Metazoa; Chordata; Aves; Anseriformes; Anatidae.
CCAAAAACAAAAAUUCAUGGCUAAUUAUCCACCUGAUGUAAAGGACCCAAUCCAAAUUUAUGCCACUCUGGCAGAAGAAGAGGGUAUUUAACUGUGAGCAAUGCUGAAUGUGAAUGAAGUGUUAGGCUUAUGAAAAUUAGUGAGAAUUUAGGAGACUAAAGCUGUUUGAAGAUUUUAAAGAUGAUCAUAUCAAACAGCCAAGACACACCUGUUGGUGUUUCAACAAGGUGCAGCUGCCCAGGUGCUGACAGUGGGGCUACUGUGUGGCCGUUGAAUGAAGCGAUGCCAGGGCUGCCCCAUGCCGACCCCAAGGGCCCCACUGCAGGACACAGCCGGGCCCCUCACCCAAGAUGGCAGCGCCUCAGGAAAGCCAGAGGAAGGGAGGGCAAACACCGCACAGCAGGGGGCGGUGAGGGGAGCGGUGUGAGGAACGGCCCUGCACAGAUGGCAAAGAGAGGAGAGGGAGCAGCAAGAGUUGUCCUGGCUGUCAAGAUUUCCCUGAAGCUUGUGCAGAGACCAUGUUGGAGCAGGUAUUCAUGUUGCAGCCAUGAAGAACCCCACACUGGAGCAGAUGUAUGUAUCAUGAAUGCAGCUGCAGUCCAUGGGAAGGACUCAUGUGGGAGCAAGGGAGAAAGUGUGAAGAGGGAGGUGCUGUUAUGGACUGACCACAACCCCUAUUGUCCAUGCCCCUACAUCUCUCAGAGGAGGUAG